Molecule: unclassified non-coding RNA, 362 nt
Filed under: fungal sp.
Lineage: Eukaryota; Fungi
Description: partial internal transcribed spacer region
Rfam family: Eukaryotic small subunit ribosomal RNA (bases 1-44)
Source: RNAcentral
GUCGUAACAAGGUUUCCGUAGGUGAACCUGCGGAAGGAUCAUUACCACACCGAUCCACGAGAUCUAUCACCCCUUCGCGAACUGUGAUAUUUUUUCUAAAUACAAAAUUGAAGCAUAUCAUAUUUGUGUGUGUUUGGUUUGUUGAAAGAAGGCUUUAUUUGCUUUUUUUCGCUUUUACCGAUCUGCACAUGUAAUAUGUAUAUGGUUCUCUUAACAAACGCCAAUUUUCUUAUAUCUUUUUUUUUCCAUUUUUUCAUUUCCCUUUUCUUAUGUUUGUUUAUUUAAUAAACGAAAGAAAGAGAAAGAAAAAAAAACAAAAACGAAUAGCCAAACAACUUUCAGCGAUGGAUAUCUUGGCUCUC